Molecule: ribosomal RNA, 252 nt
Filed under: uncultured bacterium
Lineage: Bacteria
Description: partial 16S ribosomal RNA
Rfam family: Bacterial small subunit ribosomal RNA
Source: RNAcentral
UACGGAGGAUGCGAGCGUUAUCCGGAUUUAUUGGGUUUAAAGGGUGCGUAGGCGGGCUUUUAAGUCAGCGGUAAAAAUUCGGGGCUCAACCCCGUCCGGCCGUUGAAACUGGGGGCCUUGAGUGGGCGAGAAGAAGGCGGAAUGCGUGGUGUGGCGGUGAAAUGCAUAGAUAUCACGCAGAACCCCGAUUGCGAAGGCAGCCUUCCGGCGCCCUACUGACGCUGAGGCACGAAAGUGCGGGGAUCGAACAGG